GACGAACGCUGGCGGCGUGCUUAACACAUGCAAGUCGAACGGAAAGGCCCUGCUUUUGUUGGGUUCUCGUUUGGCGAACGGGUGUGUAACACGUGUGUAUCCUGCCCUUGUCUUUGUUAUAUCUUCAGGAAACUGGGGCUAAUACCUGAUAGGAUCUCCUGCUGCAUGGUGGUGGUUGGUACGUUUCGGCGGUUGGGGAUGGACUCGCUGCUUAUCAGCUUGUUGGUGGGGUAGUGGCUUACCAAGGCUUUGACGGGUAGCCGGCCUGAGAGGGUGACCGGCGACAAUGGGACUGAGAGACGGACCAGAAGGGAACGGGAGGCAGCAGGGGGGAAUAUUGCAAAAUGGGAGGAAGCGUGAUGAAGAAACGCAGCGAGCGGGAAGAAGGCCUACGGGUUGAAAACAGAAGUAGAAUGAGACGAAGAGUGAGUGACGGUAAUGGGUAAAGAAGCACCGGCUAACUACGUG
This 468-nucleotide ribosomal RNA is filed under the name uncultured bacterium. RNAcentral describes it as "partial 16S ribosomal RNA". It matches the Rfam family "Bacterial small subunit ribosomal RNA", at positions 28 to 507 of the family's 1533-position model. The record is from RNAcentral.